AUUGAACGCUGGCGGCAGGCCUAACACAUGCAAGUCGAGCGGAUGAAGGGAGCUUGCUCCCGGAUUCAGCGGCGGACGGGUGAGUAAUGCCUAGGAAUCUGCCUGGUAGUGGGGGAUAACGUCCGGAAACGGGCGCUAAUACCGCAUACGUCCUGAGGGAGAAAGUGGGGGAUCUUCGGACCUCACGCUAUCAGAUGAGCCUAGGUCGGAUUAGCUAGUUGGUGGGGUAAAGGCCUACCAAGGCGACGAUCCGUAACUGGUCUGAGAGGAUGAUCAGUCACACUGGAACUGAGACACGGUCCAGACUCCUACGGGAGGCAGCAGUGGGGAAUAUUGGACAAUGGGCGAAAGCCUGAUCCAGCCAUGCCGCGUGUAUGAAGAAGGUCUUCGGAUUGUAAAGCACUUUAAGUUGGGAGGAAGGGCAGUAAGUUAAUACCUUGCUGUUUUGACGUUACCAACAGAAUAAGCACCGGCUAACUUCGUG
This 484-nucleotide ribosomal RNA is filed under the name uncultured bacterium. RNAcentral's name for it is "partial 16S ribosomal RNA". It matches the Rfam family "Bacterial small subunit ribosomal RNA", at positions 30 to 507 of the family's 1533-position model. The record is from RNAcentral.